AGUGGCGGACGGGUGAGGAACACGUGGGUGACCUACCUUGGAGUGAGGAAUACCGGCGAGAAAUUGCCGACAAUACCGCAUGCGCUUCUGUAGCGGAAAGCCUCGCUCGGAGAUGGGCCCGCGGCCGAUUAGCUAGUUGGUGGGGUAAGAGCCUACCAAGGCAACGAUCGGUAGCUGGUCUGAGAGGACGAUCAGCCACACUGGGAUUGAGAACGGCCCAGACUCCUACGGGGGGCAGCAGUGAGGAAUUUUCGGCAAUGGGGGCAACCCUGACCGAGCAACGCCGCGUGCAGGAAGAAGGUCUUCGGAUCGUAAACUGCUUUUCUCUGGGAAGAGGGACGGUACCAGAGGAAGAAGCCCCGGCUAACUACGUGCCAGCAGCCGCGGUAAUACGU
Molecule: ribosomal RNA, 395 nt
Filed under: uncultured soil bacterium
Lineage: Bacteria
Description: bacterial SSU rRNA
Rfam family: Bacterial small subunit ribosomal RNA
Source: RNAcentral